This 241-nucleotide long non-coding RNA is filed under the name Elaeis guineensis (African oil palm). RNAcentral's name for it is "long non-coding RNA (EGUI_LNC023056)". The record is from RNAcentral. Lineage: Eukaryota; Viridiplantae; Streptophyta; Magnoliopsida; Arecales; Arecaceae.
UGAUCUUACACUAUAGCAUACCAGUAGCAAUAAAUGCGAUGCCGGUAAUCCUUAAAAUGUGAGCAUUGAUGAUCAUCCAUAGCUCAUCACGUGUAAUCAUGCUCGAAAUCAACAAUAUCAAAUAUAACCUGCCAAUAACAAAUACUAUAAGAAUACAGUGCUAAUUAAAUAUUUCAUUAAAUAUUAUUUUAUCUGUAAGUGGCUAUAGAAGAUCUCCGUCUAAGCCGGUGUAAUGUGACAU